Molecule: ribosomal RNA, 576 nt
Filed under: uncultured bacterium
Lineage: Bacteria
Description: bacterial SSU rRNA
Rfam family: Bacterial small subunit ribosomal RNA
Source: RNAcentral
UCUAGCUUGCUGGAAGAUGACGAGCGGCGGACGGGUGAGUAAUGCUUGGGAAUAUGCCUUAGGGUGGGGGACAACAGUUGGAAACGACUGCUAAUACCGCAUAACGUCUACGGACCAAAGGGGGCUUCGGCUCUCGCCCUUAGAUUAGCCCAAGUGGGAUUAGCUAGUUGGUGAGGUAAUGGCUCACCAAGGCGACGAUCCCUAGCUGGUUUGAGAGGAUGAUCAGCCACACUGGAACUGAGACACGGUCCAGACUCCUACGGGAGGCAGCAGUGGGGAAUAUUGCACAAUGGGCGCAAGCCUGAUGCAGCCAUGCCGCGUGUGUGAAGAAGGCCUUAGGGUUGUAAAGCACUUUCAGUAAGGAGGAAAGGUUAGUAGUUAAUACCUGCUAGCUGUGACGUUACUUACAGAAGAAGCACCGGCUAACUCCGUGCCAGCAGCCGCGGUAAUACGGAGGGUGCGAGCGUUAAUCGGAAUUACUGGGCGUAAAGCGUGCGCAGGCGGUUUGUUAAGCGAGAUGUGAAAGCCCCGGGCUCAACCUGGGAACUGCAUUUCGAACUGGCAAACUAGAGUAUG